Molecule: long non-coding RNA, 4612 nt
Organism: Brassica napus (rape)
Lineage: Eukaryota; Viridiplantae; Streptophyta; Magnoliopsida; Brassicales; Brassicaceae
Exons: 2
Source: RefSeq, a predicted model, not a curated record
GGAAUAUGUCUAUUAGAUCCAUUUUUUAAAAUCACACAUUAAUCAAGGUUGUGACUUCUGUUUUAAUAUAUAAGAUUUGAACUUUAAUACAUUUAAAUAUAAUUUUAGAAUAUAUAAGAUUUAGAAGCCUACUUAAUUGAAAAUGAUUAACUUAAAAUAACAUAUGAGUUAAUUAUUUUAAAAGUUAAUUAAAUAAAUGAAUUUUAGUAUUAAAUAAAUAAAGAGGAUGGUGAAUUACUGGAAAACGCAGAGUCCUAUCAUCAUGUUUGCUGUCCACAAACUUUGUCAGUUUGCCUCAUCCACGAGCCCCUCACCUUCAAGCAGCUUACAAGAUAUUGCAUUACUUGAAAGGCACGAUAGGUCAUAGCCUUUUCUAUCCUGCUUCUUCUAAUUUGAAGCUGUUUGCUUUUGUCGAUGCGGAUUGGGAAUCUUAUCCUGACAUUGGAUGCAGUGUGUCUGGCUAUUGUAUGUUUGUUGGCACUGCUUUGAUCUUGUGGAAAUCAAAUAAGCAAGACACGGUAUUGAGUUCUUGGGCAGAAUCUGAAUAUCGAGCGAUGUCUUAAGCAGUCCGAGAAAUUAUAUGAUUUCGAAUUUUGCUUCAGGAUCUCUGGACUGAAACUAAGGACCCUGCUCCUUUGUAUUGCGACAACACUGCUGCCAUACUCAUCGUCAAUAACUAUGUCUUUCAAAAACGGACAAAACACGUCGAACGUAACUGCCACAUUGUGUGUGACCGAGUGAAGUUAGGCAUGAUCAAGACUUUUUCACAUUCGUUCGGAGAAUCAGCUCGCAGAUAUCCUAAUAAGCCUCUAUACCAUGCUCCCUUUCGGCAUCUAUUUAGAGUAUCUCCAAAAAAACUCUCUAUUUUAGAGUUUGCAAAGCUCUAUAUUUAAAGUUUCAAGGUGUUUUUUUCCAAAAGUGAAACUUCAAAUUUAACUUCAAAUUUAUUUGUAAUUUAUAAUACGGUCCUUAUAUUUUUCAUAAUUAAUAUAAAUCAAUAAAAAAUUUAUAAAUAACUAGCACAUAUAUAUAAAUAUUACAAUAAUAUUAAUUAAUAAUAUUAAUUAAUAAAAUAUUAUACUAAAAUAAAAAAUUAUAAAUAGAAAUACAUAAUUACGUAUUAAAAUACAAGCAAAAUGACACAUUAUUCCAUAAAAUUAUUUCAGUAAUGCUCCAUAUUCGGUUAUACAAAAUUUGUUUGGACAAUAUUUUAGAAGUUCCGAAGAAAAUUUACUAGACUAUUAGUGUUGUUGUAAUAUUUAAAUUUGUGUAAUAAUUAUGUCUUCGUGUAUCUUUUUUAAAUGUUUUUUUUAUUAAUUUUCUUUUGUAAUAUUCUUGUUGUCUAAUUCUAGUUUUAAAUAUUAUAAAUCUUAUUUUAAAAAAAUUAUUUGAUUUUAUGUGUCAAAUUUGAAUUUAUUAAAAUAAAUUUGAAAUAUUUAUGAUAUACAAAAGUUUUACAGAAUAAAACGAUAAAUGUGAAAAUACUUAAAAAUCAUAAAUGUGAGGUAUAAUUAAUUAAAGAUGAAACUUCAAAUUUGGAGUUUUGAAUAGUGAAACUCCAAAUAUGAAGCUUUACACCUUAGUUAAAACUCUAAAUUUGAAGUUUUGAAGUUUCUUUUUGGAAAGCAAAAAACUCUGUAUUUGAAGUUAUAGAGUUUUGUUUGGAGAUACUCUUAGCAAAAAGGAACAUUAACAUAUAUGCUCGGGGAUGUAUUGGUUUAUAGAUAUACUAGGAUCGGUCCGCCCUACGGACGGGAAGUUAAUAAUAAAAACUGUUUUAUAUAAAUUUAUAUUAAUUUUAUGAAGCAUUUAAAAAUCAUGGUGGAUUGAAAACUAUAUUAUAAAAAACAAUAAUGAUUUGAAUUCUGAGAUCACAUUGUUAGGACAUCAUUAGUGGUAAAAUAGCAAGUAGAGUACCUCACUAAUAUUUUUAUUAUUAUUUUUGUACAUAAUUUAGUUAUUAAUAAUUUUAAAAAUUAAAAUAAAAAAACUUGUAAAAUGAUACCACAUGUAUUCACCGAUUCUUUAGAAAUGUAUGAAAACUCUUCCCACAGGUACCACUCUUGCUCUCUUUUUUUUAUCGUUUCUCUUUCUUUUUUUUCAGCUUUUAAUAUUUUUAAAUUUGUUAGAGACUGAUGAAUUUCAACCGGUGCGAGUGCCCUUAUUUUUAAUAAACAUUUUUGGUUUGGAAUUAAAAUGACAACAUCCUUCAUUAUUCUAUUUUUUCAGAGAAUACAAAAUUAGCAAAAAAAAAUUCAGAAUAAUAUGAUAAUAUAUAUAUAUCUUCUUAUUAUUCUUAGUUCAAUUUGACAUAAUAAAAGAAAAUAUUAACUUUAAAUAAAUAAUAGGUGAAAUUUCAUGUUUACUACAUUCAUGGUACUAUUAUUGAUCUUUACAAUCACUAAAGGGGCAUUUUUAAAAAUAUAUUUUCAAUAAGUGGCAAAAGACUCUUAUAUCUUUGUUCUUGAUAUAUAUAUAACAAAUAAUUAUUUAAAUAAAAAACAUAUUUUUUUUAUGUUUUCGAAUUAUACUUUUUUAAAAUUCAAACUUUUUUAUAAUUAUUUUUUUUUUGGAAUUUUUUUGGUUUAUUUUAUUUUAUUUUUUAAUUCUACAGAUAUAAGAUAUGUUCGGUUAUUUAUAAAAUUUGAUUCAAUUCUCGUUCAGAUAUUUUGUUUUUUUGGUUCAGUUUGGACAACAAAGUGGGGAACCAGCUAAUAUCAAAAACAAAAUCGGGUCUCUUUCGGUUACGGGCGUUUCAGAUUAUUUUGGUUAAUUUGAGUAAAUUUUAUUGAUAAAUUGUUUUCUGCCAGAAAAAAAGCAGGUGAUUUAAGUUUUUUGGAUAAAUUAUCAGGUAGUUUAUAUAAUUUUAAAUAAUUUAGGGAAAUGGUAUUCAUAUAAUUCAUUUUGGAUAGUUCAGUUUAUAAAUAAUAAGUUUAUAAUAUUUGUUACUGUAAAACUAAGUUUAUUUAAUAUUUUAGAUUUGUAAAUUAUAUUUCAAAUUGAGAUACUUAUUAAUUUUGGUUCGGUUCUCGUUUGUUUUUGAUAUUUUAGUUUCAGAAAAAUAUAGAAUACAUUAUAUAUAGAAAUAUACCUGAUUUAUGAAAUUUGAUUUAAUUUUGAUUUUGUUUUUUAUUUGAUAAGGUUCGAUUCUUCAGUUACAGGUAAACACAUGGCUAAUUUCAUGUGUGCAGAGUUUUGUAGUGCUGGUUAACGGCACAUCAAUUUUAAUGUUUGAUCUCAAACCUCUCGUCAUUCUAUUUAUUUAUAAAUUAAAAUUGGGAUACAAUUAUUGAUCAUAUAUUAACUUAGAAAAAUAAAUUGGCGGAUGAAUCAAAUCUAUUUUCAUUUGCUAGUUGACUAUAGUAAGAAUAAUAUUAUUGUAUAGACCCAAAUCAAAGUUUAGAGUCAUAAAUAAUAGAGCCUACAGAGACGACAAAUAAUUUAAGUGGUAAAGUAGUUUACGAUGACGUGGAUUUUUUUUUGUUAUCUAUCUAUAUAUAAUUGAUUAUAGCUGCUAGUUUAGAGGUGGACUUUGUGGGUUACCGGACUUGAAAAAUUAGAGUUGUAUAAGGCCCAAAAUUUAUAAGUCUGAAGUCCAAAUAAUGUUGUGACGGACACGUGUCGCCUCUGCAGCGAACAACUUUCCACAUGGCAAAGCAAGAGAGAUACCAACAUAUUUAUAUAUAUAGAGAUGUUGUACAUGGUUUAGUUAAUCACAAUUAGAAUAAUCUGGUUUGUUCUGGUUAGCAGAUUAGAUCAAUUGUAUGUAUUGACACAUUUCCCUUUGGGAUAAAGGCUAACAAAAAUAUUCUUGUCAUCUUCUUUCUCUUUAGUACGAAUUUUUUCGCCAUGUUUGCUUGAAGAAGAUCUUCCAAUUUCUGUUCAUCUCUAUUCACUAAAACUAUCGUCAGUAAGAUCUUCUGUAUGUAUUCAAGACUUCUCUUACUCAUUUUUUUAUUGAUGAUUAGUCAAAUUCUGCUUCUUCUUACAGGUUCAGCUGCGAACAGCGGAGAGAGCAGACGUGGGUGGUCCAUUAGCCAUGGAGGGUCGGGGCUUUAUAGGAACUUUUGUAUUGAAACUGAUGCUGAAGUUGUUGAGAAAGGGUGAAUCUUUUAUUGUUGAUAACGUUCUUGAAAUUUAGUUUUCAGAAUAUGAAUCUUGAUUUUGCAUUUAUUCAGUGUAUCGAGGGACAAAAAAUAUAACAAAAUGGUUAAUUGCGAGGAUGAGUAUUCUCAGGAGUACCAGCAACACCUGAUAUAACUUUAGCAACGUCACCUGCUGAAGCUUCUGGCUUCUUUUUACUGUACAAAACCAUGUAGCCAAGUCCACCAAUUAUCACAAAUCCAACCGCUGCUGCUCUCACAGGACAUAUCCCUAACGAUCGUCGCUGGCACAAAACUUCACUUGACUGCUUCGCUGCUUGGUCAGGUCCCGCCAUUUCCCUUUUUAAAUAAAUUAUUUCUCUAUAUAUAUGGCGUCUCUCUUUUCUGAGAAAGAGUUUAUAUAAUGUCUUUCUUUAUAAGUGACUUGUAUCUCUCAAAGAAGUUUCUUCUAAAAACUGUUUGUAAAGUUUGUUUUUGUGUUGUUGAAAAUUUGGAAUUUGUAGAAGAGA